AGUGAACGCUGGCGGUAGGCCUAACACAUGCAAGUCGAACGGCAGCACAGGAGAGCUUGCUCUCUGGGUGGCGAGUGGCGGACGGGUGAGGAAUACAUCGGAAUCUACUCUGUCGUGAGGGAUAACGUAGGGAAACUUACGCUAAUACCGCAUACGACCUACGGGUGGAAGCAGGGGAUCUUCGGACCUUGCGCGAUUGAAUGAGCCGAUGUCGGAUUAGCUAGUUGGCGGGGUAAAGGCCCACCAAGGCGACGAUCCGUAGCUGGUCUGAGAGGAUGAUCAGCCACACUGGAACUGAGACACGGUCCAGACUCCUACGGGAGGCAGCAGUGGGGAAUAUUGGACAAUGGGCGCAAGCCUGAUCCAGCCAUACCGCGUGGGUGAAGAAGGCCUUCGGGUUGUAAAGCCCUUUUGUUGGGAAAGAAAUCCAGCUGGCUAAUACCCGGUUGGGAUGACGGUACCCAAAGAAUAAGCACCGGCUAACUUCGUGCCAGCCGCCGCUGUAA
RNAcentral lists this ribosomal RNA (506 nucleotides) under uncultured bacterium. RNAcentral describes it as "partial 16S ribosomal RNA". It matches the Rfam family "Bacterial small subunit ribosomal RNA", at positions 29 to 523 of the family's 1533-position model. The record is from RNAcentral.